CGGUAAUGAACUUUGAGCAAAGGAAGUACGGCAAAGCCACAAAGUUUGUCGACACGGCCUCACGGAGGGACGAGGAGUGACAGACGAAAGGAGGUCGUUGCUGAAGAUGUGCAUGUCUCCACAAUCAGCCAGAGAUGGCCAGCCCUAUUCCUGUUGGGUCAGGUACAUGCAGAAUUCAGAAGAGUAACAGGAAAAGAAUUGAUGGAAACGUUCUUCCCCUCCUUGGAUGAGCACACCAGAGCUCCGCACCGCAGCUCACCACCCCACUCAAGUGACACUAAGGAGUCUGUUGGAGUACCGAGACGAGCAGACCACAGAGAUCGUUAAACAUCGGAGGGUGGUGGCUGUCAAAGGGCUGCAGUAUUACCUGGGGGAGAAAACCGAGCUUUUCAAGACCUGCCAGCCAGACGGUGUUUACGAAGCCUCAAGCCCCGUGCCAAUGGGUAUCCUGGAGAUUGUGGGGCCUCCGGGAGGCCUGGAAGCUGCGCCAUUGCUACCUCCUUACGAGCCUUGAACCCCAGACUUUCCUUUACAGCUUAUACUGUCAGCUAUUGGAUUUGCUCUGUUUUG
Salarias fasciatus (jewelled blenny) is the source of this 570-nucleotide long non-coding RNA. RefSeq lists it as uncharacterized. The record is from RefSeq and is a predicted model, not a curated record. Lineage: Eukaryota; Metazoa; Chordata; Actinopteri; Blenniiformes; Blenniidae. The transcript is spliced from 5 exons.